AUUGAACGCUGGCGGCAUGCCUUACACAUGCAAGUCGAACGGCAGCACGGGAGCAAUCCUGGUGGCGAGUGGCGAACGGGUGAGUAAUAUAUCGGAACAUGCCCAGUCGUGGGGGAUAACGUAGCGAAAGCUACGCUAAUACCGCAUACGAUCUAUGGAUGAAAGCGGGGGAUCGCAAGACCUCGCGCGAUUGGAGCGGCCGAUAUCAGAUUAGGUAGUUGGUGAGGUAAAGGCUCACCAAGCCGACGAUCUGUAGCUGGUCUGAGAGGACGACCAGCCACACUGGGACUGAGACACGGCCCCAGACUCCUACGGGAGGCAGCAGUGGGGAAUUUUGGACAAUGGGCGCAAGCCUGAUCCAGCAAUGCCGCGUGCAGGAUGAAGGCCUU
RNAcentral lists this ribosomal RNA (389 nucleotides) under uncultured bacterium. RNAcentral's name for it is "bacterial SSU rRNA". It matches the Rfam family "Bacterial small subunit ribosomal RNA", at positions 30 to 418 of the family's 1533-position model. The record is from RNAcentral.